Molecule: non-coding RNA, 297 nt
Organism: Pelobates cultripes (western spadefoot toad)
Lineage: Eukaryota; Metazoa; Chordata; Amphibia; Anura; Pelobatidae
Source: the annotation of a GenBank genome assembly
CUCUAAUGUUCGCUGGUAUGUCAGAUGCUUAAUGCUUAUUGUAUGCGGACAAGUUAUCACGCCAGAUACCUUUCACCUUUUUCUUUUUCUUGCAGCGUGAACGUCUUCUCAUCGUGACAAAGUUUCACCUUCUAUACCUCUGCAUCGCGGAACUAGUGGAGUUGGAUAUUCUAAUAUGUUGUUGAACUGUUGACGUAAUAUGAUUAUGUCUCCUAUUGCUAUUUAUUGUUUCGCUUCAAAGAAAGAGGAAGUGAUGUCAUAGACAGGGCCUUUUAUGGGCAUUAUAUCUUUUUUCUG